GACGAACGCUGGCGGCGUGCUUAACACAUGCAAGUUGAACGGAAAGGCCCUGCUUUUGUGGGGUGCUCGAGUGGCGAACGGGUGAGUAACACGUGAGUAACCUGCCCUUGACUUUGGGAUAACUUCAGGAAACUGGGGCUAAUACCGGAUAGGAGCUCCUGCUGCAUGGUGGGGGUUGGAAAGUUUCGGCGGUUGGGGAUGGACUCGCGGCUUAUCAGCUUGUUGGAGGGGUAGUGGCUUACCAAGGCUUUGACGGGUAGCCGGCCUGAGAGGGUGACCGGCCACAUUGGGACUGAGAUACGGCCCAGACUCCUACGGGAGGCAGCAGUGGGGAAUAUUGCACAAUGGGCGGAAGCCUGAUGCAGCAACGCCGCGUGCGGGAUGACGGCCUUCGGGUUGUAAACCGCUUUCGCCUGUGACGAAGCGUGAGUGACGGUAAUGGGUAAAGAAGCACCGGCUAACUACGUG
RNAcentral lists this ribosomal RNA (468 nucleotides) under uncultured bacterium. Its description in RNAcentral is "partial 16S ribosomal RNA". It matches the Rfam family "Bacterial small subunit ribosomal RNA", at positions 28 to 507 of the family's 1533-position model. The record is from RNAcentral.